UCUUCUUCUUCUUCUUUUUUUUUUUUGUCUUUUUUGGCCACACCAACGGAAUAUGGAGGUUCCCAGGUUAGGGGUCAAAUCAGAACUGUAGCCGCCAGCUUAUGCCACAACCACAGCAAUGCCAGAUCUGAGCUGCAUCUGUGACCUAUACCACAGCUCAUGCAUGGCAAUGCCAGAUCCUUAACCCACUGAGCAAGGCCAGGGAUGGAACCUGCAUCCUCAUGGAUCCUAGUCAAAUUUGUCUCCACUGAGCCACAACCGGAACUUCUGCACUUGUUCUUUCUGCCUAGAAAAUUGAUUUCACAACUUCAGGGGCUGAGCUCCGUUUUAAAAUUUCCAGUCCAGAGAUUUCCCAUUGUGUGCAGCAGAAAUGAAUCUAGCUAGUAUCCAUGAGGAUGUAGGUUCGAUCCCUGGCCUCGCUCAGUGGGCUAAGGAUCUGGUGUUGGCUGUGAGCUGUGGUGUGGGAUGCAGAUGAGGCUCAGAUCCUAAGUUGCUGUGGCUCUGGUGUAGGCUGGCAGCUGUAGGCUGGCAGCCUGGGAAAUUCCAUAUCCUGUGGGUGUGGCUUUCUUUAGCAAACAAAACAAAAACAAAACACAAAACAAACCCCCCAAAAACAAUUUCCAGUCCAGUCCAAAGAUCUCUCCUCUGAGAAGUCACUCUAAGAUAGCCAUGGCUUCCCUCCAUUAAAAUUUUUGCAAUUUUUUUUUAUGAAAUGUAAUAUCUCAUUUAUCUUAUUUUUUUUUUUCCUUUUUAGGGCCACAACCAUGCCACAUGGAAGUUCCAAGGCUAGGGGUAAAAUCAGAGCUGCAGCUGCUGGUCUAUGCCACAGCCACAGCAAUGCCAGAUCCAAGCCACAUCUGCGACCUACAGCACAGCCCAUGGCAAUGCCAGAUCCUUAACCACUAAGCGAGGCCACGGAUUGAGCCAGGAGCCUCAGGGACACUCUGUCAGGUUCUUCACCUGCUGAGCCACAAUGGGAACUCCAGCUUAUUUAUUUUAUACGUAGUAGUUUAUACUUGUUAAUACCCUACCUCUAUCUUGCCCCUUCCCCUUUCCCUCUUCCAACUGGUAACCAUUAGUUUGUUCUCUAUAGCUUCAUUCUGUUUUUUUGUUGGUGCUAUAUUUACUAGUUUGUUUUAUUUUUUAGAUUCCAUAUAUAAGUGAUAACAUACAGUAUUUGUCUUUCUCUGACUUAUUUCGCUGAGCAUAGUACCCUCCAGUUGCAGUUGCAUCAAAGGAUUUUUUUUAAAGGAUACAAAUGGUUUUAUUCCCAGCCAUGAGAAACAAAUAGAGUUCUGACUGUUAGUUCCCAGACUGAGACUCAGAGCCCAACUGCAGGCCCAAGAGCCCUCCUGGGGUCCCAUAAAGCAACAGGGCUCCCAGACCCCAUGUGAAAGAGGACCCACUUCAGUCCACAGAUUUCAGGGACCUCCUCACCAGUCACCCUGAGGGAGGGACUCCCUCAUUCCCAGGGACCCUAGAUACCACAGGGACAUUUACUUCAUUUAGUCUUCAUUAACUAGUGACUCUAGGAGUUCCAAUUGUGGCUCAGUGGGUUAAGAACCUGACUAGGUUCUGUAUCCCUGAGGUUGAGGGUUCAAUCCCUGGCCUUGCUCAGUGGGUCAAAGAUCUGGUAUUGCCGUGAGCUACAGUGUAGGUUGCAGAUGUGGCUCAGAUCCUGUGUUGCUUGACUGUGGCGUAGGCCGGCAGCUGCAGCUCUAAUUUGGCCCCUAUCCCAAGAACUUCCUGUGCCCCAGGUGUGCCCCCCAAAAAAAGAAGAAGAAGGAGAUGAUAUUAAAGCCUCAGAGUUCCUGUUGUGGCUCAGCAGUGAACCCUACUAGCAUCCAUGAGGACGCAAGUUCAAUCUGUGGCCUUGCUCAGUGGGUUAAGGAUCUGGUGUUGAUGUAAGCUGUGGUAUAGGUUUCAGAUGCAGCUCAAAUCCUGUAUUGCUGUGGAUGUGGUGUAGUCUGGCAGCUGCAGCUCCAAUUUGACCCCUAGCCCAGGAACUUCCAUAUGUUGCAGGCAUGGCCCUAAAAAGACAAAUAGAAAUUUUUAAAACCGAAGAAGAAGAAAAAGAAGAAGAAAAAAUAAUGACUAAACCUAGCACCAGGUAAUAUUAUUAGAGAUAAAAAGGAAACUGUCCCCCUAGUUCUUGUCCUACUCUUCAUGGAAAUCCCAAAAUAGAUAAUAGGCUCUUACCUCAUGGGGAAGUUGGGGUAUUCCCUGGAAAGAGCCAACAAGAUCCCCAUAGUCAACAUGUGAAGGAGGUGGGGGUACAUCAUCACUUCAGUGGGUUCGCCCACAGUCUGGGUUCUGGCCCUGGGCCUCCCAGGGCCAAAAAUGUGACUUGUCAGUACAGGGAGAACAGAUUCAUCUCACGGGGUUGGACUCACCUUAAACAGGACUGACAUAUAAAAUCAGAAUGUAAGUUAAUUCGCUUGUAAGAGGAGGUAUAACUGCUCCAUGAACUUAAUACCCUAGUCCCCAUGACCUGUCAACAGACCUAUGUGAGAAACCCCUCCACAGAUGGAGUUAUUUGGUGAGCCUGGAAGCAGGAUAAGAACAGGCUAGCAGAUGGACCAAAUGUGUGAGGGCAGCGGGUUAAGGUCACUUCUGGGGCACCAGCCUCCACAGCAGGGUCUUCAUGUGGACUGAAAAUGCUAUAAACUCAUUGGCUGAAGCUCUUUCUUGUAUCUCCACAUUAGACACAGACUUGCUUAAUAGGAUCAGAAUAAGUCAUAAUCAUGGCUAAGGUACCUGUCUUCUGGAUGCUGUUUGGAUGAAUACUGCCCUAACAUUUGCCUUUUAUUAUUUUUCCAAGGCUGACCUUCCCCUUCUUUCUUUAGACAUAGUAAUUCUUUCCAUCAGGUCUUUUUAUAGACUGAGAGCCAUUCUGUCUCCCUAAGUCGCAUUUGUUUCACCAUUUAUUCAGCAGUAACUAACUGAGCAACUACUGUGUGCCAGGGUUCAAGGUACUAUGGUAGGUACUGGGGCAGAAGAGUGAGCAAGUGUGAUAAGUAUUACAAUAGAGGAGGUAGAAACAGACCAGGAGCACACUGGAGAGGAUCUGAAACAGACUUGAUAGACAGUUGCAUCAGAAAGUUGAUUGGAGGGUUACCUAGAGAAGGUUGAAAGGCCUCUAAGGAAGAGACAGAGAAGCUGGCCUUCAAUGUAGUUGUAGCUGAGACCUCAGCUGGUCCUCCAGGGAGCUCCCAAAUGGAGAUAGACCUUCCGAGAGCUUCUAUAGCUAAAUAAACUCUCCUUUAUCCGACAUCACAUUCUGUGCUCCUUGAUCCAGCACCUCAGGAUUCAGUCCCAAGUACAGUCUUCUGACUCCUACAUGUUAGUCAGUUUCUGCAGCAACUUCAGUAGAUGUUCUCUUUCUUUCUUAGUGGGCCCAGCUUAUCCUCAGCAAAGUUGUGCCAGGGUUUGGCCCUUGCAAUUGGCCUAAUUGCCAGGAGAUGAGACGGAGGUGAAGCCUGAGGGAAACAGGCAUCUUCUUGUAAGACAACUGCCUCAAUGGAAGCCUCCACAUGAGCUUCAGAAUCUGCCGCCAGUGGGGAGCAGGCCACGUCUAUGGAUCCACUGACUCCAGGGAAAUCUUUAAGUUCAGGGUUCUCAGUGGCAUCCUCUCAGAGGUCCUGGUCUCACGUUUCAGGGUCCAACUUCUUCUCUAUUAGGACACGGACUUUGGCACAGAAGACUUGCUAGGGCCAGGUUCAUCUUUCUCUACAGAACUGCUCAUCCUGCAUCUGAGUCCUAAGCCUGAUUCUUUGUACUUCUUGGCCCUACUGCAGAGAUUAGGAAUUCCUUAAAUGCUGCCAAAAUGAGGCUUUGGUUUUCACGUCUUGCCUGGAAUUGAUGAUUAAUCCCACUCUGAACCUGUCAUGACGUCUCUUUAAUGAAUCAAUGACAUUCACCAACUGCCACCAAUUCCAUGAUCCUC
Molecule: long non-coding RNA, 3946 nt
Filed under: Sus scrofa (pig)
Lineage: Eukaryota; Metazoa; Chordata; Mammalia; Artiodactyla; Suidae
Description: lncRNA (ENSSSCG00050048369.1)
Source: RNAcentral